Molecule: ribosomal RNA, 273 nt
Filed under: uncultured bacterium
Lineage: Bacteria
Description: partial 16S ribosomal RNA
Rfam family: Bacterial small subunit ribosomal RNA
Source: RNAcentral
UACGAAGGGGGCUAGCGUUGUUCGGAUUUACUGGGCGUAAAGCGCGUGUAGGCGGGCUUGCAAGUUGGGGGUGAAAUCCCGAGGCUCAACCUCGGAACUGCCUCCAAAACUGCAAGCCUGGAGCAAGAUAGAGGCAAGUGGAAUUGCGAGUGUAGAGGUGAAAUUCGUAGAUAUUCGCAGGAACACCAGUGGCGAAGGCGACUUGCUGGAUCUUUGCUGACGCUGAGACGCGAAAGCGUGGGGAGCAAACAGGAUUAGAAACCCCCGUAGUCC